GGGGGCGGCCCGAUGGUGCAUGUGAUAAACGGCGCCAGUCCACACGGCCGGACCGGGUUCAAAUCCCAUCCGGACCGUCCCCCCGUAGCAAGGACUGACUAUCCGGCUACGUGGUAAAAAUAAGUCUAGUAAGCCAGAAAUGGCCGGCGUGACCUGUAAGGUCGUUAAGCCAAGAAGAAGAAGAAGAAACUGUAAA
This is a long non-coding RNA of Anopheles funestus (African malaria mosquito), 196 nucleotides long. RefSeq lists it as uncharacterized. The transcript is spliced from 2 exons. The record is from RefSeq and is a predicted model, not a curated record. NCBI's taxonomy places the organism in Eukaryota, Metazoa, Arthropoda, Insecta, Diptera, Culicidae.